UACGUAGGGGGCAAGCGUUGUCCGGAUUUAUUGGGCGUAAAGAGCUCGUAGGCGGUCUGUCGCGUCUGCUGUGAAAACUCAGGGCUUAACCCUGAGCUUGCAGUGGGUACGGGCAGACUAGAGUGCGGUAGGGGAGACUGGAAUUCCUGGUGUAGCGGUGGAAUGCGCAGAUAUCAGGAGGAACACCGGUGGCGAAGGCGGGUCUCUGGGCAGUAACUGACGCUGAGGAGCGAAAGCGUGGGGAGCGAACAGG
Molecule: ribosomal RNA, 253 nt
Filed under: uncultured bacterium
Lineage: Bacteria
Description: partial 16S ribosomal RNA
Rfam family: Bacterial small subunit ribosomal RNA
Source: RNAcentral